Molecule: ribosomal RNA, 253 nt
Filed under: uncultured bacterium
Lineage: Bacteria
Description: partial 16S ribosomal RNA
Rfam family: Bacterial small subunit ribosomal RNA
Source: RNAcentral
UACGAAGGGGGCUAGCGUUGCUCGGAAUCAUUGGGUUUAAAGGGUCCGUAGGCGGUUUAGUAAGUCAGUGGUGAAAGCCCAUCGCUCAACGGUGGAACGGCCAUUGAUACUGCUAAACUUGAAUUAUUGGGAAGUAACUAGAAUAUGUAGUGUAGCGGUGAAAUGCUUAGAGAUUACAUGGAAUACCAAUUGCGAAGGCAGGUUACUACCAAUAUAUUGACGCUGAUGGACGAAAGCGUGGGGAGCGAACAGG